RNAcentral lists this long non-coding RNA (780 nucleotides) under Homo sapiens (human). RNAcentral describes it as "HSALNT0198215". Lineage: Eukaryota; Metazoa; Chordata; Mammalia; Primates; Hominidae. The record is from RNAcentral.
GAGAGGAUGGGGUGCGGGGAGGAUAGAGGCUGAGGUGUGAGGAUUGCUUGAGCCCAGAAAGUCGAGGCUGCAGUGAGCUUCAACUUGGGCGACAGAGUGAGACCCUGUCUCAAAAAAAAAGAACUUUAAGAAGUCAAGACAAAAAGAAAAUAUUUGUUAAACAUUUUAAACAACUGAAACUACACUAAAAAUCACAACUCAAGAGUGAAACUAACAGGCUCGUUUUCUAAGGGGAGAUCGGACAUGAUAGAUGUUUUUCCCAGCCUGUCUUCUAAGCAUCCACAUCACACUCGCAGAUGGCCCUUCCAUCUGACAAAUCGUGUACUAAUUAUUUUUCAAAAUGUGUAUGAGUUGAAGAUCUCCCUAAUGACUGUGCAACUAUUCAAAUGUUGAACACAACUUAGCUGGAGAAAUCUGGAGAAGUCUGGCUGGGAAGGGAAGAAGAAGCAGGAAAACAGGGCUAAGCCAAGACGUGCAGCUGGAGCAGAAGGAGUCAGAACGGGCUGGCAGAGAGCGCUGAGCUCCCAGCAGGGGAAGAAACCAAAGAACAUGGAGGCUCCUGCGACGAGAGGCCUGCAUAGCGCUAGCCAUGGAGACCAUAGUGGUGGGCAACGCAGACACGACCCUGUCGUCACAAAACUUAAAGUUUAAAGAAGACAGACUAAUAAAAUAAUCACAGAAACGAAUAUCUGCUGCGAAGCAGUAGGAAGUGCCCUGCGGUCUGUUUCCCCUAGCAGAGACUGGCCUUGUGGCGGAAGACCCCCGCGCGUAGGGAGGGCC